CGCCCUGUUUAAACAAAACAUGUCUUUUUGAUUUGAAGUUAUAAAGUCUGACCUGCCCACUGAUUAAAUUUGAAGGGCCGCGGUAUUUUGACCGUGCAAAGGUAGCAUAAUCAUUAGUCUUUUAAUUGAAGGCUGGUAUGAAUGGUUUAACGAAGUAUUAACUGUCUCAUUAUAAUUUUUUGAAUUUAACUUUUUAGUUAAAAGGCUAAAAUGCAAUUAUAGGACGAGAAGACCCUAUAGAGCUUUAUAUAUGUAUUUAAUAAUUAUUUUUAGUUGUUUUUAAUAAUUUUUAAUUAAAUUUAUUUGGUUGGGGUGACUUGAAGAUUUAAUAAACUCUUUAUUUAUAUGAACAUAGAUUCAUGAGAAAUUGAUCCAUUAUUAAUGAUUAAAAGAUUAAGUUACCUUAGGGAUAACAGCGUA
RNAcentral lists this ribosomal RNA (420 nucleotides) under Libanasidus vittatus (king cricket). RNAcentral describes it as "partial 16S ribosomal RNA". The stretch from base 1 to 210 matches the Rfam family "Archaeal large subunit ribosomal RNA", at positions 1889 to 2143 of the family's 2987-position model. Lineage: Eukaryota; Metazoa; Arthropoda; Insecta; Orthoptera; Anostostomatidae. The record is from RNAcentral.